This 980-nucleotide long non-coding RNA is filed under the name Equus asinus (donkey). RNAcentral describes it as "lncRNA (ENSEASG00005032792.1, ENSEASG00020027539.1)". Lineage: Eukaryota; Metazoa; Chordata; Mammalia; Perissodactyla; Equidae. The record is from RNAcentral.
UGCCAGUUCGGAUUCCCGGUGGAGACAUACACACCGUUUGUCGAGCCAUGCUGUGGCUGCUAUAACACAAUACCACAGAAUGAGUGACGUCAACAAUAGAAAUUUAUUUCCUCACAGCUCUGGAGGCUAGAAGUCCAAGAUCAAGGUGCCAGCAGGAUCAGUUUCUGAUGAGGACAUUGACUCAGAGAAUUUAAGUAGCUUGGUGAGGUUAUGAAGCUGGUCCACAAGUCGCAGAAUUCUAAAUACAUCAUUGAUGACGAUUGUCUGUUUAUAGAUCUUUGUCUUAAAAAUCAUCAUGGCAUGCUCUUCUCUCGGACUAGUAACGGCAGGUACUGUUCCGAAUACCCUAAACCUAUUAAUGCACUUGACCCUCCAACCAGCCUGAGGAAGUAACUGCCCUUCUCAUCUUAUAGACACGGAAACUAAGCAACAUGGAGCUAAGUACCUUGCCCCACAUCCCACAACUGUGAGUAGUAGAACCAGGAUGCAGACCCGGAGUGUGAGCUCCAGACACUGAACUUUGAACCACGAUGUUAUGCUGUUUCACCUAAGUCUUCAGAGCUAUAUUUUCUUCGAGUGAAUUAUGUCCACAAAAUCCGAAUCCGUUAUUCCUCAGACAUGUAAUUUUGCAUAAAGAAAGCACUGCUAGACAAGAGGUAGCCCAGGCGGUCACCUGAUGAGAAAGAACAUAAGCACAGAUCCAUGGAAACAUACUCAACACUACCGACUUGUAAACAAGAGUUAAGCAAGCCAAGUGUGGAGAACGAAAUUCCAUACGAGUUUAGAAGAAAAACUCCUAAAUCAAGGUUAUUAGCAAAUGGCUCAGAGUAAGAGUGGGGUUUGAGGUGUCACUCAAAAAAGAAGAAUAGCAUUUGAGAAAGAGAAGGCAUAGAAGGAAGGUCAGCUUGAGCAAAGAGCAGGAAAGAAGAAAGCAAAGGAUUGUUCACAGAACAGCAAACACACCACCUGCUGGAGAAAUG